Ixodes scapularis (black-legged tick) is the source of this 960-nucleotide long non-coding RNA. RefSeq lists it as uncharacterized. The record is from RefSeq and is a predicted model, not a curated record. The transcript is spliced from 3 exons. Lineage: Eukaryota; Metazoa; Arthropoda; Arachnida; Ixodida; Ixodidae.
GCCACAGGAAGCAUAAUCAUGUGGACCGCAGCGGACGCUACGAGCCAGCACAACCGAUUCUCCCGCUGAGAGAGUGUUGGGUGACCUUCGGAUACCUGGACCUCGAGACUGGUGACCUUAAAGAUGUCAGCAAGGAUACACGGUGAUUUCUUCACCACGGGGCUGUGCAAUUUACUGGCAUGGAUCUAGUGUCUCACCUCGGAGAUCUCCAUGGCGUGUGAAAAGUGCCAAGGCUGGUGGGGCAAGAAGUUUAUUGGAAGGCUUUGUCAUGCCACGGUGAUGAACAUUCAUGACAGGCCCUUCUGCCGAACCAGCUACGCAAUAGAGGCAAGCCUGCUAUGCCACUGGGACAUGGAUGCAGUGCACUAGUCUACGUGUGGCACUGUGGACUCCUGGGGACCAGGCCAGGAGAUGGACGUGCAAUAUUUAUAUUCCGCGUAUAUUUAGUCAACCAAUUUUACUGUUGACAUUGACUGUUGACAAGUGGGACAUUCUGUUCGUGUGGCAAAAGAUAUGCCGGGUGUGUGGUGGGGUCCCACAAAAAAUAGCUAUGUUCUGUCUGGAGCAAUGUUCAUAGAGACAUGGCAAGUUGUGUCAGUGAUGGUCGCAGUUUGGGACAUGUUUUGGGUGGCUGCGUGAUGGGGUGCUGUGAUCGUUGCUGGACAACUGUUUCAUUGAGUCACUGUGGCAGUGUUUUCACUAGCUUGGGAGGCAGCAUGGUAAUGCAUAAACACAGUGACAGAUUUUACUUCGAACUAAAAAUGGUGUACAAGAAUAAAACAACUUGCUGCCUCAUCGAGGCAUGUCUUCAAAUGUGAACUAAUAUGUUGUCUUUUCAGUACCACCUUUUCCAUUUUGUUUCAUUGAAACCUCGCAGUGAGAGUGACUGAGAUAAUACAGUCAUGUCUUGGCAUUAUGAAUGCCUCCGAGUUUUCUAUAAUGAAUCAAGAUCAGAGACAA